Molecule: ribosomal RNA, 253 nt
Filed under: uncultured bacterium
Lineage: Bacteria
Description: partial 16S ribosomal RNA
Rfam family: Bacterial small subunit ribosomal RNA
Source: RNAcentral
UACGUAGGGCGCAAGCGUUAUCCGGAUUUACUGGGUGUAAAGGGCGCGUAGGCGGGAUGGCAAGUCAGAUGUGAAAUCCAGGGGCUCAACCCCUGAACUGCAUUUGAAACUGUCGUUCUUGAGUACUGGAGAGGUUGACGGAAUUCCUAGUGUAGCGGUGAAAUGCGUAGAUAUUAGGAGGAACACCAGUGGCGAAGGCGGUCAACUGGACAGCAACUGACGCUGAGGCGCGAAAGCGUGGGGAGCAAACAGG